Molecule: long non-coding RNA, 463 nt
Filed under: Lathyrus oleraceus (garden pea)
Lineage: Eukaryota; Viridiplantae; Streptophyta; Magnoliopsida; Fabales; Fabaceae
Description: Pisum sativum (pea) long non-coding RNA (PSAT_LNC001594)
Source: RNAcentral
AAAUGAUCUUGUAUUGAUUUAGGUUCUUUGCAUGAUUUAGGAAGCAAUCUAUCCUUAAUGCAAAGCCAUUCACUUGAUCCAUGAUCAAGAUGAAUUAGAUUUGGAUUAAGGAAGAUUAAACCUUCAUGUAUCAAUGCUAACCACCAAUCUUUAACUCAUUGAUAAAAAAAAUAAAAAGAAGAAGAAAAAAAAGAAGAUGAAGAAUUAAAGUGCAUUAAUGGAAAUGGUAUGUAUUAAUCAACAAGUGUUGACCAAAGAUAGAGAAGAUCAAGGUCAAACAAUAGAAAACAGAAGAAAAAUGAGAAUUAGAAGUCAAGAAACAAAUAAAAUAUUUUUGGCAUUUUUAAUAUUAAAAUAAAACUUGAAUUAAAAUAAUAAAAGAAAGUUCAAACUUCAAACUCACUUCAAAUCAACUUUGAAAAGUCCAAGUGAAUUAUCCCAAGUUCAACAAGGUCAAACAAAG